UAUGUGAUCGUCUCUCGCAUAUCAAUAAGCGGAGGAAAAGAAACUAACAAGGAUUCCCCUAGUAACGGCGAGUGAAGCGGGAAGAGCUCAAAUUUGAAAUCUUAAAGGGUUUCCCUUUACGAAUUGUAGUUUAAAGAAGUGUUUUCUGUUGAGGUUUUGGUAAAAGUUCUUUGGAAUAGGACAUCAUAGAGGGUGAGAAUCCCGUAUUUGACCUUUACUUUCAACUUUGUGAUACACUUUCAAAGAGUCGGAUUGUUUGGGAAUGCAGUCCAAAAUGGGUGGUAAAUUUCAUCUAAAGCUAAAUAUUGGCGAGAGACCGAUAGCGAACAAGUACCGUGAGGGAAAGAUGAAAAGAACUUUGAAAAGAGAGUUAAACAGUACGUGAAAUUGUCAAAAGGGAAGCGUUUGACACCAGUGUUGUUUUUCUGAAAAUCAAUUAAAGAACUGUUUAUGCUAAGCUGUUUAGACUUUAUCAGCUAACUGUUUAGUUUUGAGCUUUUCUUUAAUGCACUUUUCAGUUAACAAGUCAACAUCAAUUUCUUUUGCUGUAAAAAAGCUUGAGGAAGGUGGCUUGAGAUUCGUCUUAAGUGUUUAUAGCCUCUUGCCUAUGCAGUCGGAGAGAUUGAGGUCUGCAGCGUAGAUUCCUUCGGGGCUAAAUGCAUUUGUGCUAAGUUAUAGCAUUUUAUAGACAACUUGUUGACUAUGAUUUGUCUUGUAGCUUACCUCGCUUAUGUUAUUUUACCUACGCUUAGGAUGUUGAUAUCGCGCUCUCACUG
RNAcentral lists this ribosomal RNA (776 nucleotides) under uncultured Neocallimastigales. RNAcentral describes it as "partial large subunit ribosomal RNA". It matches the Rfam family "Eukaryotic large subunit ribosomal RNA", at positions 24 to 644 of the family's 3401-position model. Lineage: Eukaryota; Fungi; Neocallimastigomycota; Neocallimastigomycetes; Neocallimastigales. The record is from RNAcentral.